Long non-coding RNA from Ictalurus punctatus (channel catfish), 512 nucleotides. The record is from Ensembl. Lineage: Eukaryota; Metazoa; Chordata; Actinopteri; Siluriformes; Ictaluridae.
UGUAGGAGCGGGUGGGAUUGGUCAAGAAUGCCUGUAGGAGCCGGUGGGAUUGGUCAAGAAUACCUGUAGGAGCCGGAGGGAUUGGUCAGAAUUCCUUUGGGAGCUGUCCGUCUUGGUCAAGAGUAUCUGAUGGAGCAGAAGAGAUUGGUCAGAAUUCCUUUAGAAGUGGGGGAGAUGGGUCAGACUUCCAUCAGGAACAGGUGGGAUUAAAAACACCUCUCAGCCACCAGGACGUUCGUAGUCAUCUCGCAUAUCCUUGUUAAAUGAAAAUUCUAUCGUUAAUUAGGAAGCGCUUGCACCAUUAAUGAUUCAAGUCACAAAGUAAUUGCACGCUGUAACUCUAUAUCCGCUGUAAUAUGUCACCUUGUGCAGGCUGAGCAGAUAAUGCACUAAAAUAUUCACGUUCAGUAGAAUAGUGAGGUUUGCAUUUGCAGCACAAAGGCCAUGGAUUGUUUAACUAAAUUGUUUCAUCAAGAUGAUAAACAGCAGGAGUUGUGAAGUGUACGGCUGUA